This 64-nucleotide transfer RNA is filed under the name Gryllus lineaticeps. RNAcentral's name for it is "tRNA-Leu". Lineage: Eukaryota; Metazoa; Arthropoda; Insecta; Orthoptera; Gryllidae. The record is from RNAcentral.
ACUAAUAUGGCAGAAAAGUGCGAUGAAUUUAAGCUUCAUUAAUAAAGAACUCCUUUUUUUAGUA